RNAcentral lists this ribosomal RNA (402 nucleotides) under uncultured Streptococcus sp. Its description in RNAcentral is "bacterial SSU rRNA". It matches the Rfam family "Bacterial small subunit ribosomal RNA", at positions 977 to 1382 of the family's 1533-position model. The record is from RNAcentral. Lineage: Bacteria; Bacillati; Bacillota; Bacilli; Lactobacillales; Streptococcaceae.
GGUCUUGACAUCCCGAUGCUAUUCUAGAGAUAGAAAGUUACUUCGGUACAUCGGUGACAGGUGGUGCAUGGUUGUCGUCAGCUCGUGUCGUGAGAUGUUGGGUUAAGUCCCGCAACGCGCGCAACCCCUAUUGUUAGUUGCCAUCAUUCAGUUGGGCACUCUAAGGUGACUGCCGGCUAAAAGUCGGAGGAAGUGGGGAUGACGUCAAAUCAUCAUGCCCCUUAUGACCUGGGCUACACACGUGCUACAAUGGUUGGUACAACGAGUUGCGAGUCGGUGACGGCGAGCUAAUCUCUUAAAGCCAAUCUCAGUUCGGAUUGUAGGCUGCAACUCGCCUACAUGAAGUCGGAAUCGCUAGUAAUCGCGGAUCAGCACGCCGCGGUGAAUACGUUCCCGGGCCUU